This 794-nucleotide long non-coding RNA is filed under the name Equus caballus (horse). Its description in RNAcentral is "lncRNA (ENSECAG00000056101.1)". Lineage: Eukaryota; Metazoa; Chordata; Mammalia; Perissodactyla; Equidae. The record is from RNAcentral.
GUGAGGACACAGCAAAAGGUGCUGCCUAUAAAUCAGAAAGCAGAGCCCUCACAAGUAACCAAAUUUGCCGGCGUCUUGAUCUUGGACUUGCCAGCCUCCAGGACUGUAGCUCACUCCUGGCUUCAGCAGCAGACAUGAUAUUAAAACCUUGGGACUGGAGCAUUUAAAAACAAGGUACCCUCAAGGAAAUAGAAAUUAAACCAUAUUCAAUGUGUAUCCACCAGAAUGGCUAAAAUGAAAACGACAGAAAAUGCCAAAUAUUGGCGAGAAGCUAGAGCAUCUGGAACUCUCAUACAUUGCUGGUGUCUGAAGUCAGCUUCAUGCACAGAUUAAUUCAGUGUCAGCUUUCACAAGUUACACCUGAAGGGACAUGUGGUAAAGGGAUAUAUGGAGAAAGGAUAAAUAUCUUCAGAAUGAAGCUCACUUCUGUGGAGGUAGGAGGAGGAAUGAGACAGCGCCAAAGUGGAUUUAACCUAAGAACAUAUCUGCAACUACUGCAUCUGAAGAAAAUACGGCAUCGAUGCGUUAAAUCUUGAAACCCUUGAGAAGUAACUCCCUCCUGCUCUUCAGCCCCUUGUUGUUUUACUCACCUCCCCACUUUCUUCUGAUUCUUCAGUGGAAAAUCCCGAGAUCCAGAGACAGGCUCCUCUUCGGAGGGUAAGAGACGGAAAGAGACUGAGCAUGGGACAAAGGAAAGGAAGGCCUGAACUCCUGAAUGUGUUACACUGUCCCCGCCCCUACUUACAAGAAGCAACUGCCAUGCUGAAGUCUGCUUUUGAAAUUCUCGUAAGCAA